RNAcentral lists this ribosomal RNA (228 nucleotides) under uncultured bacterium. RNAcentral describes it as "partial 16S ribosomal RNA". It matches the Rfam family "Bacterial small subunit ribosomal RNA", at positions 568 to 795 of the family's 1533-position model. The record is from RNAcentral.
UGCGUAGGCGGACUAAUAAGUCAGUGGUGAAAUCUUUCGGCUCAACCGGGAAACUGCCAUUGAUACUGUUAGUCUUGAGUUCGGUUGAGGUAGGCGGAAUGUGUAAUGUAGCGGUGAAAUGCUUAGAUAUUACACAGAACACCAAUUGCGUAGGCAGCUUACUAGACCGACACUGACGCUGAGGCACGAAAGCGUGGGGAGCGAACAGGAUUAGAUACCCUGGUAGUC